This is a long non-coding RNA of Ceratina calcarata, 1853 nucleotides long. RefSeq lists it as uncharacterized. The record is from RefSeq and is a predicted model, not a curated record. The transcript is spliced from 5 exons. Lineage: Eukaryota; Metazoa; Arthropoda; Insecta; Hymenoptera; Apidae.
CUCGUAAUACAAGGUGUGACUGAGAGGAGGAUGACUACUAUUAGCCGCUAAUGAAUACCAAUUACGAAACGUUUGGCUGCGGAUUGGACAUCAACGAUCUGUUAUCGACUGUUAACAUUGCCGAGGAACGUUGUCGCAUACGUUUCUACCCAUACGAACAGGAAAUUAUGCGUAAUUUCCAUUGAGAAGGCCAAAGAAGCGACUUGCUAUCAAGUUGCACGACGCCGCUUUCGUGUUCUCUUCUUUCAAUUCAGAAACACGUUCCCGGCGACCGUGAGGCAUAGUAACACGAUUUCUUCCCCGAUUCGAUCGAACAUUCGUGACUCAUUGUUCGCUGGCAUAUCGAUCCAUCGUGAGCCAGCCACGAUCCCAAAAAGAAAUCGAAGAUUGUGGGAAUAAUAGUGAUAAUAUCAAUUCUAUUCAUGGAAAUCGUGCAUACAAAUGAAGAAGAAUUUUUCUGGAAUUCAAGUAACACGCUACAAGCUCUUUCCGAUUGUCCGUUCUCGACGCUGGCUAUCAUUUACAAACUGGUUGCGUUGAACGAAAAGCUGACCGAAACAGAAGCAAAAGGAGAGAAGGAUCGAACAACGCGUAGAAACGGAUUCUCGGCGACGGCAAAAUGGAAAGGAUCCCGAUACGAUUAAUCGUGCAUCCUAGGAUUUAACGAUAACGAGCUGCUUAGUAAACACAGCUUGACCCGUGUCAGCCUACACAGCCGGGCAAAAUUAUGAAGCUUAAACGGAUCUAACGGCUAACGAAUUCUCGUCACGAAUACGCACAGCGUCUCACAUUUUAUCUCCGCACGCCACGGCCCGCAGAUUUGUUCGCCGUUCUACCAACUUAUACGAAACUAAGUUAAAACAUGUGAAUCGUAAGACUGCCAUACCAAAUGAGUAAUUGAUCUAGUCUGCUUCCUAGCAUUAAAAGAAAUUUUAUCGCAUAAGACGAUCAAACCGUAGGAGUAAUGACCUUUCGCAAAAACGGGAGAUGUCCAAAAAUCGCGGGGACAGUUAACUGUUUCCAGUAAAAUCUGAACUCUGAAUCGCGUGUCGAAAAACAAUUGCUGAGGUCAGUCGACGUGACUCACGGUAUUUCUACCAAAAAAAACCCGGAGAGCCCGAGAUCGGUUGCGGAUAUUUGAAUUUUAGGAUUACGUGGAUUCGCGUUGGUUUCGUCUGUUUUUUCUGACUCGUUCCACCGGAUUCGAAGGAAUCUUCCUCAUUGCGGAUAAUAAAAAGGACGACGAGUCCGGGCACUGGUCCCCGGGCAACCUGUGCCAUAAAAUUCACGCAAUAUCCAGACCGGCAUUGGACCAGGAAGAAAGCGUUGUCGCGCGGAAUCAUUCAAGAGCCUCGCGUACCUUGCCUGAAUAUCGGAAUGCACUCGCUGAUACGAUUCAGCGAAUGAUCACCGGGGAAGGCGCACGAUCUUGACCGGUCAUUCUAAAUCUCCUCCAAUAAGAAUCCAACCGACGGAUACGUCCUUGCGGCUCGUCUUCGACCCCGCUGACAGCUGCAAGGUGGAGGGGAAUUUUCAGCGGGAACGAGAGCGGCACACCGCGCCGCGCAGAAAAGAAACAAACGUGGACUUCCUGAGCAAGGAGUCCACCGCAGGGUCCUGCGCCCGUGUAAUUGGGGUCCUCCGCGAAGCUACUCCCUACGAACCAGAAUGGUGGUGGGGGAUGCCCUAUGUAAGCCCUCGAACCGACGAGGUCCAGGCCAUCCAGCAUCAGGACAUCGUACGCAAGGACUCGGACAUAAACGAGGUUCGCUGAAGGAUCACCUCGACGAUCAUCGCGAGCUCAUCCAGGACGUCGGGUUCACACGUUCUCCAGGGUGUUCUCAUAGAUACCG